This 793-nucleotide ribosomal RNA is filed under the name uncultured Mycobacterium sp. RNAcentral describes it as "bacterial SSU rRNA". It matches the Rfam family "Bacterial small subunit ribosomal RNA", at positions 556 to 1344 of the family's 1533-position model. The record is from RNAcentral. Lineage: Bacteria; Bacillati; Actinomycetota; Actinomycetes; Mycobacteriales; Mycobacteriaceae.
GGGCGUAAAGAGCUCGUAGGUGGUUUGUCGCGUUGUCCGUGAAAUUCCCUGGCUUAACUGGGGGCGUGCGGGCGAUACGGGCAGACUGGAGUACUGCAGGGGAGACUGGAAUUCCUGGUGUAGCGGUGGAAUGCGCAGAUAUCAGGAGGAACACCGGUGGCGAAGGCGGGUCUCUGGGCAGUAACUGACGCUGAGGAGCGAAAGCGUGGGGAGCGAACAGGAUUAGAUACCCUGGUAGUCCACGCCGUAAACGGUGGGUACUAGGUGUGGGUUUCCUUCCUUGGGAUCCGUGCCGUAGCUAACGCAUUAAGUACCCCGCCUGGGGAGUACGGCCGCAAGGCUAAAACUCAAAGGAAUUGACGGGGGCCCGCACAAGCGGCGGAGCAUGUGGAUUAAUUCGAUGCAACGCGAAGAACCUUACCUGGGUUUGACAUGUACAGGACGCGUCUAGAGAUAGGCGUUCCCUUGUGGCCUGUGUGCAGGUGGUGCAUGGCUGUCGUCAGCCUCGUGUCGCUGAGAUGUUGGGUUAAGUCCCGCUACGAGCGCAACCCUUGUCUCAUGUUGCCAGCGGGUAAUGCCGGGGAUCUCGUGAGAGACUGCCGGGGUCAACUCGGAGGAAGGUGGGGAUGACGUCAAGUCAUCAUGCCCCUUAUGUCCAGGGCUUCACACAUGCUACAAUGGCCGGUACAAAGGGCUGCGAUGCUGUAAGGUUAAGCGAAUCCUUUUAAAGCCGGUCUCAGUUCGGAUUGGGGUCUGCAACUCGACCCCAUGAAGUCGGAGUCGCUAGUAAUCG